AGGAUGAAGCGCAGGAAGCGCAUAAAACGAAAAGGACUUAUCGGAUACUGCCAGGCUGGCGGGUCGAUCAGGGAUGUCAGGAUUCAGUCUGCAAGCCCCACUUCGGUGGGGUUUU
RNAcentral lists this small RNA (115 nucleotides) under uncultured Pseudomonas sp. The record is from RNAcentral. Lineage: Bacteria; Pseudomonadati; Pseudomonadota; Gammaproteobacteria; Pseudomonadales; Pseudomonadaceae.